RNA transcript from Vitis riparia (riverbank grape), 1910 nucleotides. RefSeq lists it as uncharacterized. NCBI's taxonomy places the organism in Eukaryota, Viridiplantae, Streptophyta, Magnoliopsida, Vitales, Vitaceae. The record is from RefSeq and is a predicted model, not a curated record. The transcript has 7 exons.
AAGAAAGAAGACCAACCUCCUCCACUCUGUGCACAGAUUUGAUGCAACGGAGUGAAACCCAGAUUUCGUGUUGUGAAUAAAAUGUUUUCCUUGAUGAUGACAAUGAGCAGAAACCGGAGUUAUGUGGAAUUUGGGCACAUAAGCCAGGGAGAUGGUGAUUUGCAAGUGAGACGAGAAAGUAACGUAAAGAAGAUUUCUACUGUGUACUCAGUGGACUUACCGACAAUGGUUGCACAGGUGUACAAAGGGACCUGCAAUGAUCUUCACUUGAUUCCUAUUCAAAGGUGUACAUGCCAAAACACUUACAAUCGGAAGUGGAUUAGAAAAUCCCAAAAAAGCUGCAGUUCUGAAGAGGGAAGUUGUGGGCAUUCUUCCUUGUCUGCUAGAGACAAAGGAGUUUUUAUGGUCAAGCUGGAGAAGACCCUUCUCAACUUUUCUCCCUGAGAUUCUUUCAGUUUUUCUCAUUGGACAUGCAGGGAAGCGAGGUGUAGCUUUGAAGCACUUCUUCUUGGCUUUUUGUCUGGGAUGAGAGGCUAUAAAUAUCAGCUUGUAAUAAAAAUAAUUUUAAUGUCCAUCCAUGUUAAGUUCACUAGUAUGGUGGAACUUUUUGUGUCCAAAUCCUUCACUUUCCAGAACAUUCAACUCCUCUAAACUCAGAAUUUUUUUAAGUAAUAAGAUUUGGAAAUUAACAGAAGUUAGCUCUUACUGGGAAGAUAUCUAUUUAGCUCUUCAGAUUCAUGGAAAGGAGCAUUUGUCAUCUAUUUUUGGUGGUGAAUUAUCCAUGAUGACGGAACUAGAAUCUGAAGCCAAUGCUCAGUGAAUGCUGAGUGGCUAAACUGACAGUGUCUAGCAUAUUGGUAGUGCAGAAAUGGACACAAAUUAAAAGUCUUGGUUGAGCUUGAACAAUAUGCGUAGUGGACAGGAGGAUGUUACAGUUGUAGGCAUGUCAAAUAUUGGUUUUCCUGAGAAUCUCUCGUGUUCCUUGCCAUCUGGCUCAACUUUGAUCCGAUGUGAAUAUCUCUUAGAAAGGUGAAAAAGUGUGCAAAAGUGCAGCCCCCUUUCUUAAAGAUUGGUGAGGGCCUACCUUUCACUUCUUAGGUACCUUUGCCAAGUUAGAUACUCUUUCCACACAAACCUAAAACCCAAAACUGUAACUACAACUUCAACUGAAAAAGUUACUAAUUGUAAACCAGUAACUUAUCAAAAUCUAAUUUAUUGUUUAUCAAUUUUCAUUCUUUUUAAGGGCUAAGCACUCUUUCUAUGGUAUACAUGUUGAUGGAAGUGAGCAUGGGAUGGGAUACCUUCACCUGAAGGUGGUAUUAGAAGCCUGUCUUAUUGUGGAAGAGCUUCUAAUUCUUUCAAUUGUGCAAACCUGUUUCCAAUAAAAUGCUGAGUGGAGAAAAAGCGCUCAUGCCUGCCGAAUGGCCUUUCGUAAAUGGCUACAUCAAGAUCCCAAGGAUCAUUGACACCCUCAAACGUUAAAGUGAAAAAGCGCAGCACCUCAGCCAGGUCCAGUGAUAUUAUGGAAGGCAGCACAGGGAUGGGCAUGGUUCAGUGGAUGGGAAUAAUAACUGGAUAUUUCAUGUGAAAAGACCAAGACCCACAGGGUAGCAUGGACCCCAAUCAAAAGCCUGAAAGCUCCGCCAAGCUCGAAUCACAUUCACAACAGACAAGAAGGUAUUACCGGACACUAGAGCUAUGCAAGCUGUGUACCAUUGCUUCCUUUAUUUUUCCUUUCCAUGUGGCUGAACUUUCUACACUUUCCUACAUUUUCUGAAUCCUUUAUUCCAGAAAGGAAGUAGAGCAUCCAUUCAUUUCUUAUGGAAUGGGGUUUCUUUCUUCUUUUUUUUAUCCUUUUUUUGGAGGGGUGGAAUGUAGUAGACAUGAUUUCUUAUGGUUGACCUAUUUAA